Molecule: ribosomal RNA, 459 nt
Filed under: uncultured bacterium
Lineage: Bacteria
Description: bacterial SSU rRNA
Rfam family: Bacterial small subunit ribosomal RNA
Source: RNAcentral
GCACAAGCGGUGGAGCAUGUGGUUCAAUUCGAAGCAACGCGCAGAACCUUACCAACCUUUGACAUCCUGAUCGCGGGCACCAGAGAUGGAGCCUUUCAGUUCGGCUGGAUCAGAGACAGGUGCUGCAUGGCUGUCGUCAGCUCGUGUCGUGAGAUGUUGGGUUAAGUCCCGCAACGAGCGCAACCCUCGCCCUUAGUUGCCAUCAUUUAGUUGGGCACUCUAAGGGGACUGCCGGUGAUAAGCCGCGAGGAAGGUGGGGAUGACGUCAAGUCCUCAUGGCCCUUACAGGUUGGGCUACACACGUGCUACAAUGGCGGUGACAGUGGGAUGCAAUGGAGCAAUCCUGCGCAAAUCUCAAAAAGCCGUCUCAGUUCGGAUUGUGCUCUGCAACUCGAGCACAUGAAGUUGGAAUCGCUAGUAAUCGCAGAUCAGCACGCUGCGGUGAAUACGUUCCCGGGC